Molecule: transfer RNA, 49 nt
Filed under: Alphaproteobacteria bacterium
Lineage: Bacteria; Pseudomonadati; Pseudomonadota; Alphaproteobacteria
Description: tRNA-Val
Rfam family: tRNA
About the family: Transfer RNA (tRNA) molecules are approximately 80 nucleotides in length. Their secondary structure includes four short double-helical elements and three loops (D, anti-codon, and T loops).
Source: RNAcentral
GGGCGUGUAGCUCAGCGGGAGAGCACUACGUUGACAUCGUAGGGGUCAC